This 1387-nucleotide ribosomal RNA is filed under the name uncultured bacterium. RNAcentral's name for it is "bacterial SSU rRNA". It matches the Rfam family "Bacterial small subunit ribosomal RNA". The record is from RNAcentral.
CGUGAAUUCGCCCUUAGAGUUUGAUCCUGGCUCAGGACGAACUCUGGCGGCGUGCCUAACACAUGCAAGUCGAACGGACGAGGAGGAGCUUGCUUCUCCAAGUCAGUGGCGGACGGGUGAGUAACGCGUGAGUAACCUGCCCUUCAGAGGGGGAUAACGUCUGGAAACGGACGCUAAUACCGCAUGACAUAUUUCCAUCGCAUGGUGGAGAUAUCAAAGGAGCAAUCCGCUGAAGGAUGGACUCGCGUCCGAUUAGAUAGUUGGCGGGGUAACGGCCCACCAAGUCGACGAUCGGUAGCCGGACUGAGAGGUUGAACGGCCACAUUGGGACUGAGACACGGCCCAGACUCCUACGGGAGGCAGCAGUGGGGGAUAUUGCACAAUGGGCGAAAGCCUGAUGCAGCAACGCCGCGUGAGGGAAGACGGUUUUCGGAUUGUAAACCUCUGUUCUAAGUGACGAACAAAUGACGGUAGCUUAGGAGAAAGCCCCGGCUAACUACGUGCCAGCAGCCGCGGUAAUACGUAGGGGGCAAGCGUUGUCCGGAAUUACUGGGUGUAAAGGGAGCGCAGGCGGGAAGACAAGUUGGAAGUGAAAUCUAUGGGCUCAACCCAUAAACUGCUUUCAAAACUGUUUUUCUUGAGUAGUGCAGAGGUAGGCGGAAUUCCCGGUGUAGCGGUGGAAUGCGUAGAUAUCGGGAGGAACACCAGUGGCGAAGGCGGCCUACUGGGCACCAACUGACGCUGAGGCUCGAAAGUGUGGGUAGCAAACAGGAUUAGAUACCCUGGUAGUCCACACCGUAAACGAUGAUUACCAGGUGUUGGAGGAUUGACCCCUUCAGUGCCGCAGUUAACACAAUAAGUAAUCCACCUGGGGAGUACGACCGCAAGGUUGAAACUCAAAGGAAUUGACGGGGGCCCGCACAAGCAGUGGAGUAUGUGGUUUAAUUCGACGCAACGCGAAGAACCUUACCAAGUCUUGACAUCCCUUGACAGACAUAGAAAUAUGUUUUCUCUUCGGAGCAAGGAGACAGGUGGUGCAUGGUUGUCGUCAGCUCGUGUCGUGAGAUGUUGGGUUAAGUCCCGCAACGAGCGCAACCCUUAUGGUCAGUUACUACGCAAGAGGACUCUGGCCAGACUGCCGUUGACAAAACGGAGGAAGGUGGGGAUGACGUCAAAUCAUCAUGCCCUUUAUGACUUGGGCUACACACGUACUACAAUGGCGUUAAACAAAGAGAAGCAAGACCGCGAGGUGGAGCAAAACUCAGAAACAACGUCCCAGUUCGGACUGCAGGCUGCAACUCGCCUGCACGAAGUCGGAAUUGCUAGUAAUCGUGGAUCAGCAUGCCACGGUGAAUACGUUCCCGGGCCUUGUACACACCGCCCGUCA